Molecule: ribosomal RNA, 733 nt
Filed under: Lactococcus lactis
Lineage: Bacteria; Bacillati; Bacillota; Bacilli; Lactobacillales; Streptococcaceae
Description: bacterial SSU rRNA
Rfam family: Bacterial small subunit ribosomal RNA
Source: RNAcentral
GGACAACAUUUGGAAACGAAUGCUAAUACCGCAUAACAACUUUAAACACAAGUUUUAAGUUUGAAAGAUGCAAUUGCAUCACUCAAAGAUGAUCCCGCGUUGUAUUAGCUAGUUGGUGAGGUAAAGGCUCACCAAGGCGAUGAUACAUAGCCGACCUGAGAGGGUGAUCGGCCACAUUGGGACUGAGACACGGCCCAAACUCCUACGGGAGGCAGCAGUAGGGAAUCUUCGGCAAUGGACGAAAGUCUGACCGAGCAACGCCGCGUGAGUGAAGAAGGUUUUCGGAUCGUAAAACUCUGUUGGUAGAGAAGAACGUUGGUGAGAGUGGAAAGCUCAUCAAGUGACGGUAACUACCCAGAAAGGGACGGCUAACUACGUGCCAGCAGCCGCGGUAAUACGUAGGUCCCGAGCGUUGUCCGGAUUUAUUGGGCGUAAAGCGAGCGCAGGUGGUUUAUUAAGUCUGGUGUAAAAGGCAGUGGCUCAACCAUUGUAUGCAUUGGAAACUGGUAGACUUGAGUGCAGGAGAGGAGAGUGGAAUUCCAUGUGUAGCGGUGAAAUGCGUAGAUAUAUGGAGGAACGCCGGUGGCGAAAGCGGCUCUCUGGCCUGUAACUGACACUGAGGCUCGAAAGCGUGGGGAGCAAACAGGAUUAGAUACCCUGGUAGUCCACGCCGUAAACGAUGAGUGCUAGAUGUAGGGAGCUAUAAGUUCUCUGUAUCGCAGCUAACGCAAUA